This is a long non-coding RNA of Pleuronectes platessa (European plaice), 824 nucleotides long. RefSeq lists it as uncharacterized. The record is from RefSeq and is a predicted model, not a curated record. Lineage: Eukaryota; Metazoa; Chordata; Actinopteri; Pleuronectiformes; Pleuronectidae. The transcript has 4 exons.
ACCAAUGAGUGGUUGUCGGUGAUUGGACAAUGCUGAACCCACUGUGAGCUUGUGGAGUUUCACCCGUCUCUUAGUUGACCAGCCUGAUAAACCUUUCCUCCUGAUUCCAGCAAGUUAAACAAUGUGAUCAUCUACACUGACCACAACCUAUCGACGGCUGAUCCAAGGCUUCAAGAUUGAAGUUAACGGGAGGUGAAGGUUCGCCACAGUAACAUUGGCGUGUGGGCCAGGGCCCUUGAACAGCCAGAGUUUGUGAUGUCACAAACCUCAAAAACCAAUCCGAUUCAUUGGGUGUGAGGGGCUCAGUGGCUGGAAAAAGCUCCUGAACUGCAGGUGAGAUGUGAGGGUGGAGAGAUGUGGGGCAGUGGUGGAGUCACUUUAGCAUAUCCAUAAACCCCAUUACUGAAAUGAAGGUGUGGAGCUAUAUCUCAGCAAUUUAAAGCCCAUCAGUGGAAUUUGUUCAUGAACAAAGAAGACUUAUAGGGGCUGUAUUAAACAGGUGCCAAGUGACUACACCUGACCUGACCUGAUGACAAUGUACAACACUUCAUUCAGAGGUCAAACAGCUCGAGCAGUGUUUGUGAAAUAUUAUUUUCUGCUGCUUGGACAGCUGACUCCUCAAACCCACAGACCGAGACCCUCAGAGAGAAACUCCUUGGUGCCUCACACAGAGGAAGCUGAGCGCCCAGAGAAAAUAAAAGUACUGACGUCACAGGUCUUCAGGGCACCGAGGCUGGAAUGGGAUGGGACAGUCUGCACCAGUCAGUGACUCAGGCUGUCGUCGGUCUCCUCCCCUUCCCGGAGACACACUGUGUCCCCCAUUA